AGUGAACGCUGGCGGCGUGCUCAACACAUGCAAGUCGAACGAGAACGGAUUAUAGCUUGCUAUAAUUGUCAGCUAAGUGGCGCACGGGUGAGUAAUGUAUAGGUAAUAUGCCUCUUACUAAGGGAUAACAAAUGGAAACGUUUGCUAAUACCUUAUACUCCUUAUUAACAUAAGUUAAUAAGGGAAAGAUUUAUUGGUAAGAGAUUAGCCUGUAUUGUAUCAGUUAGUUGGUGGGGUAAUGGCUUACCAAGACUAUGACACAUAACUGGUUUGAGAGGAUGAUCAGUCACACUGGAACUGAGACACGGUCCAGACUCCUACGGGAGGCAGCAGUGGGGAAUAUUGCACAAUGGACGGAAGUCUGAUGCAGCAACGCCGCGUGGAGGAUGACACAUUUUGGUGCGUAAACUCCUUUUAUAUGAGAAGAUAAUGACGGUAUUAUAUGAAUAAGCACCAGCUAACUCCGUGCCAGCAGCCGCCGUAA
RNAcentral lists this ribosomal RNA (484 nucleotides) under uncultured bacterium. Its description in RNAcentral is "partial 16S ribosomal RNA". It matches the Rfam family "Bacterial small subunit ribosomal RNA", at positions 29 to 523 of the family's 1533-position model. The record is from RNAcentral.